CUCUGUUUAUCCACAGAAUAGGAACAACCUGAUGAGAAAUAGAGAUGAAAGCUUCCCUACACCGCUGUACUAAUGUGCCUCAACUCUGAUGAGGAGGGACUACCUCUGAGGCUCAGAUAG
RNAcentral lists this small RNA (120 nucleotides) under Gopherus agassizii (Agassiz's desert tortoise). RNAcentral's name for it is "TUC338 (ENSGAGG00000016604.1)". Lineage: Eukaryota; Metazoa; Chordata; Testudines; Testudinidae. The record is from RNAcentral.